CCUACGGGUGGCUGCAGUGGGGAAUAUUGCACAAUGGGCGCAAGCCUGAUGCAGCCAUGCCGCGUGUGUGAAGAAGGCCUUCGGGUUGUAAAGCACUUUCAGCGGGGAGGAAGGCGGUUAGGUUAAUAACCUCAUCGAUUGACGUUACCCGCAGAAUAAGCACCGGCUAACUCCGUGCCAGCAGCCGCGGUAAUACGGAGGGUGCAAGCGUUAAUCGGAAUUACUGGGCGUAAAGCGCACGCAGGCGGUCUGUCAAGUCGGAUGUGAAAUCCCCGGGCUCAACCUGGGAACUGCAUUCGAAACUGGCAGGCUAGAGUCUUGUAGAGGGGGGUAGAAUUCCAGGUGUAGCGGUGAAAUGCGUAGAGAUCGGGAGGAAUACCGGUGGCGAAGGCGGCCCCCUGGACAAAGACUGACGCUCAGGUGCGAAAGCGUGGGGAGCAAACAGGAUUAGAUACCCGAGUAGUC
Molecule: ribosomal RNA, 465 nt
Filed under: uncultured Klebsiella sp.
Lineage: Bacteria; Pseudomonadati; Pseudomonadota; Gammaproteobacteria; Enterobacterales; Enterobacteriaceae
Description: bacterial SSU rRNA
Rfam family: Bacterial small subunit ribosomal RNA
Source: RNAcentral